This 434-nucleotide ribosomal RNA is filed under the name uncultured bacterium. RNAcentral describes it as "partial 16S ribosomal RNA". It matches the Rfam family "Bacterial small subunit ribosomal RNA", at positions 29 to 507 of the family's 1533-position model. The record is from RNAcentral.
AGCGAACGCUGGCGGCAGGCCUAACACAUGCAAGUCGAACGAACCCUUCGGGGUUAGUGGCGGACGGGUGAGUAACAUGUGGGAACGUGCCUUUAGGCUCGGAAUAAUACUUGGUAACUUGUGCUAAUAUCGGAUGUGUUAUUCUGGGGCAAGAUUUAUCGUCUUUAGAGCGGCCCGCGUUGGUUUAACCAGGUGGUUGUGGUUAUGGCUCACUAAGGUUACGUAAAGUACAUGGUCAGAGAGGAAGAUCAGCCACAUUGGGACUGGGACGCGGUCCAAAAUCCUACAGGAGGCGGGAGUGGGGGAUCUAGCGAAAUCGGCGGAAGGCUGACGCAGCCAGGCUUGGUGAAUGAUGAAGGUCUGAGGGUAGUGAAGUUCUUUAACCCCCCACGAUACUGACGGUACCCGAAGAAGAAGCCCCGGCUAACUUCGUG